AGAGUUUGAUCAUGGCUCAGAAUCAACGCUGGCGGCGUGCCUAACACAUGCAAGUCGAACGCGAAAGGGAGCAAUCCUGAGUAGAGUGGCGUCCGGGUGAGUAACACGUGAAUAAUCUACCUGCGGGUGGGGAAUAACUUUCCGAAAGGAAGGCUAAUACCGCAUAAAAUCUAGCUGGGAUAGCCUAGUUAGAUCAAAGAGGGGGAUCGCAAGACCCCUCGCCUGUAGAGGAGUUCGCGGCUGAUUAGCUAGUUGGCGGGGUAAAGGCCCACCAAGGCGACGAUCAGUAGCCGGCCUGAGAGGGCGGUCGGCCACACUGGCACUGAAAUACGGGCCAGACUCCUACGGGAGGCAGCAGUGGGGAAUUUUGGGCAAUGGCCGAAAGGCUGACCCAGCAACGCCGCGUGAAGGAUGAAAUUUUUCGGAAUGUAAACUUCGUAAAUUAGGAAAGAAUAAGUUUGUACUAAUACUGCAAGCGAUGACGGUACCUAAUGUAAGCCCCGGCUAACUCCGUGCCAGCAGCCGCGGUAAU
This 532-nucleotide ribosomal RNA is filed under the name uncultured bacterium. RNAcentral describes it as "bacterial SSU rRNA". It matches the Rfam family "Bacterial small subunit ribosomal RNA", at positions 8 to 524 of the family's 1533-position model. The record is from RNAcentral.